UACGGGGGGAGCAAGCGUUGUUCGGAAUUACUGGGCGUAAAGGGCGCGUAGGCGGCCUGUUAAGUCGAACGUGAAAUCCCCGGGCUCAACCCGGGAACUGCGUCCGAUACUGGCAGGCUUGAAUCCGGGAGAGGGAUGCGGAAUUCCAGGUGUAGCGGUGAAAUGCGUAGAUAUCUGGAGGAACACCGGUGGCGAAGGCGGCAUCCUGGACCGGUAUUGACGCUGAUGCGCGAAAGCCAGGGGAGCAAACGGG
Molecule: ribosomal RNA, 253 nt
Filed under: uncultured bacterium
Lineage: Bacteria
Description: partial 16S ribosomal RNA
Rfam family: Bacterial small subunit ribosomal RNA
Source: RNAcentral